This 380-nucleotide unclassified non-coding RNA is filed under the name Thermoflavimicrobium dichotomicum. RNAcentral describes it as "contains 16S-23S intergenic spacer region". The record is from RNAcentral. Lineage: Bacteria; Bacillati; Bacillota; Bacilli; Caryophanales; Thermoactinomycetaceae.
UCCGGCUUUCACCGGCUGUCUCUCCAGAGUGCCCACCCGAAGUGCUGGCAACUGGAGAUAAGGGUUGCGCUCGUUGCGGGACUGAACCCAACAUCUCACGACACGAGCUGACGACAACCAUGCACCACCUGUCACCGCUGUCCCCCGAAGGGGAAAGGCGUAUCUCUACACCGGUCAGCGGGAUGUCAAGCCCUGGUAAGGUUCUUCGCGUUGCUUCGAAUUAAACCACAUGCUCCACCGCUUGUGCGGGCCCCCGUCAAUUCCUUUGAGUUUCAGUCUUGCGACCGUACUCCCCAGGCGGAGUGCUUAUUGGGUUACCUGCGGCACUGAGAAGUCAAUCUUCCCAACACCUAGCACUCAUCGUUUACGGCGUGGACUAC